CCGAAGGCCCCAGCGAGAUUUGAACUCGCGACCCCUGGUUUACAAGACCAGUGCUCUAACCCCUGAGCUAUGGAGCCCUCACCUGGGAGGUGCAUUCCUACUCCUGUCCUUAUAGAUAGAUGCAUAUUGUCAACCUAUUCGUGCACUAGGUAGAGCAGGAACCAGGCAGAUUCCAAGAUCUUCUCUUGUCCUGUUGCUUCCUGAAAUAUUCUGCUUUGAGUCGAGCCACCCUCAGACUGUCAUCUGGUCUUUAAUCCUGGUGACUGAAGAGGUGCCUCCCGCAAGUGCACGAAGGGACUGGGCCAGCGUUCACCGGAGCUGCAGGACACCAGGGGACCGGCCCCGAGGAGGUGCAGCGCCAGAGGACUACCGCCAGGCUUAGACCGCGCACGCCUCUCAAUGGAGCAAAGCUUUCGCCUCCUUUUCUGCAGCGAAGGCCUCUCUCAAAGAGAAGGAGCAAUUGGUGCAUUGGAGAACAACUUUAUCCCUUCCACAAGGGCACGCUGACACAUCUUCACUAUUACAAAAUAAUAAGAUUUGCAUUGUAAAGCUUCUUCAAGUCCUUGUCUGUAUAACCUGGUGAGCAAGAACAAGACCAUGCAUUUUACUUAAGAAAAACUUCACGGCUAUUCUCUACCGAAAACGCAGCCAGUCGUUACGUUCAUUACAUCCUGUUGGGUAAACGUAUGCAUGAUGAUGCUGACCUCCACUUUUUAAAGAAAUUGAUGAGCUGUUAAUUAGGAGAAUAACCCAUCUACGGCAGAUGUCCUUGAUCCGGGGUUGAGUCCACAAAGGCCUCCUUCACCAAGCUGUCCUAUGCACAGUAGGGCAAGCAGGGGUUUUGUGUGGCCUACGUGGACCUGUGUCUCCCGGUAUUCCCUGGCCACCCGCCUAAGACUUUCCGUGGUAGCCCUGUCCUCCACACCCUCAGGAGAGCCACAAGAUUCGUGUUUAAGACUGCAGGUUACUAUGUCACUUGCUGAGAGUUCCACAACCAUUUCCAGGAGACCUCCUUCUUUUGAAGUUAUCACCUCAGAAUCUACUGGAUUUGAUAUGGCAACCCUAUACUAUAAGGAAGAAGUUCUGUCAAUAUGUGACUUAGAUGUGGGGGAAGUUGGGAAGCCCAGAGGGCUUAGUCAGCUGGUAGCCAUCACACAAGAUGUGCCAUCUAUAGCCUAAUUAGCUUAGGAUCUGGCUGCCUGAGGAGCUGUGUCUUAGUUAGGGUUCUUGUAUCUGUGAUAAGUAUCUUAUUGUUUUAUUGCUUGAAGAGACACCUUGACCAGGCAACUUAAAGAAGGCUUGUUUACGGUUUCAGAGGGUGUAAGUCCAUGAACAUUAUGGUGAGGAGCACGGUAGCAGGUAGGCAGGCAUGGUGGUGGAACACCGAGAUCACGUCUGAUCUGUAAGUUACAGGAAGAAAGAAGGUGCAAGAAGGGCCCGAGUGGGCUUUUAAAGUCUCAAAGCCCACUCGCAAUGACACAGCUCCUCCAACAAGGCCAGGCCACACCUCCUAAUCCUUCCUAAACAGGUCACCAACUGGGGACCAACCAUUCAAACCAAUGAGCCUAUUCGGGCCAUUCUCCUUCAAACCACCAUAAUUAAACACCAUGACCAAAAUCAAACCAGGGAGGAAAAGACUUACUUCAUCUUACAGUUUAUAUUACAUCAUUCAGAAAAGAGCAGGAACUCAGGGCAGGAACCUGAGACCGGAACUGACGCAGAG
RNAcentral lists this transfer RNA (1723 nucleotides) under Cricetulus griseus (Chinese hamster). RNAcentral describes it as "lncRNA (ENSCGRG00015035036.1)". The record is from RNAcentral. Lineage: Eukaryota; Metazoa; Chordata; Mammalia; Rodentia; Cricetidae.